This is a long non-coding RNA of Herpailurus yagouaroundi (jaguarundi), 522 nucleotides long. RefSeq lists it as uncharacterized. The record is from RefSeq and is a predicted model, not a curated record. The transcript is spliced from 3 exons. NCBI's taxonomy places the organism in Eukaryota, Metazoa, Chordata, Mammalia, Carnivora, Felidae.
CGCAGCGGCUCGCAGGGCCGCCGCGGGACGACGGGCCCGGGACGCCGGCUCCGAGCACAGGCCGUCCUCCUCGAGGGCAGGGCGCGCCGCACGCGGUCCGUAAUGUGCAACCACUGAAGACCUCGUGAAGAAAGCAGUAUGCUGGAAAGACACAUAAAAUCCACCAUCGAGACUUCAGCACUAAAGCUCCCAUUGUAUUGUUCCAGUACAGAGCAGCAGGGUCAUUGACUCUGGGGAAUGCUGGCUGCCAUGUCAUGGAGAACUUGAGCAGCCCUAUGGGGGACAUCCAUGUGGUGAAGAACUGAGGUGCCUCACCCACAGCUGGUACUGACUUGCCACUCAUGAGAACGCACCGUUUUGGAAGCAGAUCCUCCAGCACCAGUCAAGCCUUCAGAUGACUGUAAUGCCAGCUGUCAUCUGACCUCAUGAGAGACUCUAAGCCAGAACCACCCUUCUAAGCCAUGUCAGAACUCCUGACCCAAAGUAACUCUGUGAGAUAAUAAAUGUUAAUUGUUGUUUUAA